This is a long non-coding RNA of Rhinopithecus bieti (black snub-nosed monkey), 4975 nucleotides long. Lineage: Eukaryota; Metazoa; Chordata; Mammalia; Primates; Cercopithecidae. The record is from Ensembl.
AUGUCCGCCAGCCGCAGCCUCCAGCAGCCAUGCAGGAUGCCUGGACUAGCACUGACAGGGAUUUGUAGGGUGGCCCUGUCUGGUCCCCAUCUCCUCUGCUCACUCAGUUCAGUCCCAGAGACCUUACCCAGAUCCAGGGGCAGGGGGCCCAGGGUGGAGAGCGAGGCUCCCACGAUCUUUCUGUCCAGUAAGGAGCAGACAGCAAGAAACCCUGAGGGGCUGAGACAAGGAAGCCUGGAGGCAAGGCUCAGGUGGGGCUGGCCCCUGCACCCAGGGUCAAAUCAGGGGGCUUCCAGGCAGGAGGGAUGCACUGGCUCAGGGCCCAGACCCUGUCCAUGCCCAUCCCUGUCGCUGGAGAGAAGGGCCCUGGCCUCGCCCGGGGCAGCCCUGUCCCAGCUGCAGUGCAGGCCGCUGGGCUCUGCAGAACAGUCCUUCCUGCUGCUGGAGCAGGAGAACCGCAGUCUGCCCCCCGACCCAGCUAGCACGCAGCCCUUGGGGAACAGGGCACCUCUGCAGCUGGUGUGGCAGGAGCUGUGCUAGGGGCAAGAGGCUUUCGUGCACCAGUCCCAGGUGGGCCUGGAGGAGGGGCUGUCAGGGGAGGAACCGUCAUGCAACACUCCAGGUGGGCCUGGGGGUGUUCAGUGGGGAGGGAGGAACCUUCAUGCAGCAGGCCGGUGGGCCUGGGGGAGGGCUGUCAGGGGAGGAACCUUCGUGCAGCAGGCCGGUGGGCCCGGCAGGGAGGUACUGGCCACCCUGCUGAUGCUGCCCAAGCCCACCCUGGGCCCCACCCUCAGAAUGAGCUGCAGCAGAUCUGCCUGUGUUUUGAGAAGACGGUCAUCACAGAGGUGCCCGCCUGGCUGAGGGGGAGGGGUGCUGGGGGCCCACCCAGUGGGUCCUCCUCAGGUGUGACCCCACCAUCCUCCUGACAGCAUGGCUGAGAUGUACAUGGCCCUGAACAACCAGGCCACCAGGCUCCUGGUAGGUCCCCACAGAGCAGCACCCAGAAGGAUGGGGCCGGGCAGGCGAGAGGCCGGGUAGGGCGGGGCUGGGGCCUGCUGUGCUUACCUCCUCUGGCCCCCAACACCUCAAGAAGGACAUCCGGGGCAUGCUGGACCAGAAGAAGAACAUCUAGCUGGGGAUUCUCAGGUAACACGGAGGCAGGGACCGGGUCGGCUGAGCAGGGUCUCGGAAGGGGUCCUGGUCAGGACAGGGCAGAUCCAUCCUUGAUCCCCCACCUCCAUAGCACUGAGCCAGGGGGUGGGUGCCAGGCUGGGGGUGGAGCGCGUGGGGUCCUGACAGGCCUCUGCAGGGAGCGGGCCCAGUGCCGCACUCAGGCCAGGAAGGAGCUGCAGAUGGCAAGCAUGGCAGUGAGCCCCCCAUGCCCCCCUCUGGGUCUGGAGACCAGCCCCCCACCCAGGGCUCUGCUUGGGCGAAGGGGAGAAAUGGGCUCCAGCAGAGCAGGUUCAGGGCAGGGGGCAUCUGAAAAGUGGCUGCAGGAACCUGUCCAGGAGGAAGGGGCCAGGGCUGUGGUGGGGGGAGCCCUGUCUGAGGAGGGUUUCCCAAAGUCAGGGAUCCCCGGCCCCAGCCUGGACCAUCAGGGUGGGCUCCCCAACAGAAAGGGAGGCCAAAGCUGGAAAGCUCCAAGGGCCUGGCAGGCCAGCUCUGGUAGGUUACUGUGCGGCAGAGCCCAGCUCCCCAGGCCCCCUGCGUACCCCUGCCCCUGACUGCCACCACCCGUAGGCUACUGACCCUGAGGCUGCUGCUGGGUGCCCUGCUGGGCGCCUACGUGCACACGGUGAACCCCAGGCCCUUCGAGGGGCUGGUGCCACCCCUGCUGAGCCAUGCCACCAUCUGGAAGCUCCAGGCCCUGCUGGACCCCUUCCUGCACCUUGAGGUGGAUGGCCUCCUGUCCUAGGCUGGGGGCCCAGCGGUUCCAGCGAGGAGGCCAGGCGACCAGCACUGCCCCAGAUGCCCAGUGGCCAUGUCGGCACCACUGCACACCAUCCCUUCCAGGAGGUGCAGAGAAGGGUGGAGGCAGGGUCUGUCCUGAGGGCUGGGCCUGUGGCUGGACAUAAAGUCAUGACAUACAUGGCCGGCAAGCACGUCUCUGUGGAAAUUGGGGAAGGGACACCCAGGCCAUCCGACAGCGAAGGUCCCUCAGGGUGGAAACCCCAGCCUCAGGGCUGGCUUCUCACCCCACAUCCCACCUGCCCUCCAGAAGUCAGCCCCUCUGCACAGGGCUCUGACCCCCAAGGGGUCUUAGGACGGUUUCCACUGAAAGGCAACAGCAGUAAGGACUAGGGGGUCCUCAGGUCUUGCCCCCUGGGCCAGGCCCUCCCGUGGACCUCAGAGGUCAGGUUUUCAGCACUGAACCUGCUGAUCCACUGACCUCAUGCCCCUCAUGCAACUCCCCUCCCUUCCUGGCCACCACCCUCCCUGCCCAGGUCCUGUCACCUUCCCAACCCAGGGCCCUGUCUGGUACAGGGCACCACAUUGGUAGACAGAGCUGUGGAGAUCAACACCGAAAAUUUUAUUUGGGGAAUGAAUUAGCAGGGGUGCCCUUAAGAACAAUGCAGGAGAGUUCUGUGGCUUUCUCAUCCCAAAAUGGGAGAAAUAACAGCCGCAGCCCAGGGUAAACCAGGGACAGGGACCCUGUGCUGGAGAAGGGCUGGCUGGAGUGCCACCCUGCCACAGGCCAUACCUCUGCUGGAGGACACAGGGCUUAGGCCUCGGGCCCUCUGAGCGCCCGGCAGCAUCGUCUCUGGGUGCAGGCAGCCCCAGUGGGGCCCAAGCAGAGCUGGCCAUGACCAUAGGACCCUGGAGGCAGGCAGGAGCCAAUGGCUCACCAUGCUGGUGGCUCCAGGAAAUUAAGGCAUCUGUUCAUGUGUCAGGCGAAGGGCAGGAGUGCAGAGACCUUCGGGGGCAACCUGAGACCCCCCACCCAGCCCAACCCACGGAGGCCUGGGCUCCCCGAGGAGGAAGUGGCUUGGUCUAAAGAGCUUGGUUGGACAGGGAGGCUCAGCAAAGUUUGUGCUGGUCUCCGCAAGUUCUGGUGCUGCCCCCUGUAGGGUGCUGGACCCCUUGCAGCAGGUGGGGGACGACUCACUGAGGUCACAUGGACACAGGGUCUCAGACCUUGGCAGGUUGAGAGUCUGUCAAGCUGUGGCUGGUGGAGAAGAAAGCCCAGCUCACCUCCAGCCCUGCCCUAGGAUCCAUGGCAGUCUGACCUCCUGGGUCCCCAGCUGGGCUGUCCCAGGCCCCAGAGCUGCCUACUUGUCAUCCUGCUAGGGCCCGGGGAGGCUGGGGGAAAAGACUAGGUAGCCAAGUGCAGGCGGCACAUGGCCCCACGUGGGGGCGCCCCAGGUGGUCGGGCUCCAGGGGGCCCGCAGUGCUGGGCGGUCUUCCAGGUGGCCAAGGUGGCAUAGGUGCAGCCCAGGAGACACCCAAGGCUGGUCACGUUGCCCCCAUCCACGGGUACAGGUGCCAAUCCGCUCCCUGUGGGCUGCAGCGUCCGUGAGAGAGAAGCAGAAAGGUGGUCAGCACAGGACCAGCUUCGGGGCCCUACAGCCCGCACCCCUCCCACAAUGGGACAGCCCCAGCCCAGGUUGUCUCAGCCCUGAACAGCUGCGCAUCCCUCACACUCCCUCAGCCCUGCCCCUGGCAUUUGUCAGGCAGGAGAGUUCCAGCAGUUUCAGCGGCCCCCACGUGGCCCUGAGCCAGCAUGUGGCCCCUAUGCACCCACACUUCAUUUCGCCAAGCUCUUGGGUUCCUGGGAUUCCCCUGUGGGUAGCGGCAGACCAAAGUCUUUCCCCCACCCUAUCACUGCCAGAACUGAUGCAGACCCAAGGCAAGAGACCCUCACACUUCCUAGCCACAGACCAUCGGCCACGCCCUCUUCCCAAGCCUCUGACUCAGCCCAAGUCCACAGAAAUGCCCCUGAGGAAUCCACCUACCCCUGCACACCAGACAGCAGCCAACCCCCCUUCCGGGGCCCGGCCUCUGCCCUCCCGUAACUCUGGGGGUCCUGCAGCAAUAGCCCUGGUCUUGCCCAAGGGAAGAAUCAAAAUAAGUUUUUCUUUUUUAAUAAAAUUAUAGCUAUAUAGAUGUAGAUAUAAAAACAAAACAGACACAACGCAGGUGGAUGCUGUCGUGUGCUUACUCUCAGGUCCCUGACGCCAAGGGAAGCACGGACUCCUCCCCAGUGUGCUUUCCCACGGCGUGAGCACCGCAGCCAGGCCAGGGUUGGGGACAUGGCAUGCCUUGGGGCAGGGUUCUCCAGUUUGGCAGGGAGGGCCUGAGGGCUGGGGAGGGGGCUCUGGGUGUCACAGGCCCCGUGGCAGCAGCAUCCCCAUGCCUGCUCCCACCUGUCCUGUCACUUCCCACAAGAGCAUAAAGCAAAGGUCUAGGCUUUGAUGAAAGGGACAGUGGCAGCUGGAGCACUGACACAUGGCUGGCCAUCUGUCUACCUAUCCAGCACCACCCAGAACAGGCCAGAGCAGAAGCAUCGGCCUUGCUAAGCUACGAGCUCCCAGUGGGGUCAGUGAAAGGCAAUGCGUUAGUUAGGAGUAGCCUGGUGGGGGACACUCGGUCCGGGAGCCCACAGGCUGUGUCGGAAGGAUGGCAGAGGCCCUGGAUGCCUCUGUCCAUCUCUGGGACCCGUCUGUAAAGGGACCGUUGGGGACUGGCCUGGCGAUGAUCUGGGGUGCAUGGGUGAUGGGAGUGGGCCAAGCCUGGCUGAGAGAGGGGGCUCCAAAGAGGCUGACUAGGCCCCUGCACUGCCCUAGCCAUGGGAUGGGCCCAGACGCAGACCAGCCCUGCGGCCCUUCUCCCAGUGAGCCGACUUCCCCAUGGGCAGAUGAGUGGACAGGCAGGCAGGGCGCCUGGGGCAAGGUGUGGAGGCAUGGCGCUCUCUCCCGCCAAUGGGUCCACACCAGGCUAGGGUGGCCUCUUGUCCCUGGGGCAGAGAAGUUGGUGG